GACCGCGUAGCUCAGUUGGCAGAGCAUUGGGCUAGUAUUCCGAAGGUCGUAGGUUCGAUUCCCACCGUGGCCG
Molecule: transfer RNA, 73 nt
Filed under: Paramuricea clavata
Lineage: Eukaryota; Metazoa; Cnidaria; Anthozoa; Malacalcyonacea; Plexauridae
Rfam family: tRNA
About the family: Transfer RNA (tRNA) molecules are approximately 80 nucleotides in length.
Source: Rfam by way of RNAcentral